GGGAAAGGGCAAAUACGAGAGGGAAGGAGAGUGAUCUCUGAUGAGAUUAGGGCAACACUUGUUGAUCAUGUAAUCAACCAUGGUUUGACAGUGAGAGUCCAGCCCAACUUGAGUCGAUUUACAGUGGCGUCCAUAAUUCGAACCUUCAGAAAUUAGAACAAAGUGGAAAGGCUAAGACAUCAUUGAGGAUGAGGACGCUUGUUUACAGAUGUACAAGAGACUGCAAUUAUAAAAAUGGUUUUGGCCAACAAUGCAAUUAAGAUUUGAGAGAUAAGAGAGCAUAUCUUGAGUAAUGACACCAUAUUCAACAACAUCAAUGCUGUAAGCCUGUUGACCAUACAACGCAUCCUCCAACGGCACCAAGUGACGAUGAAACAACUUUACAAGGUGCCAUUUGAGAGAAACUCUGACAGAUUCAAGAAUCUGCGACAUGACUUUGUAGAGGGUAAUAUAACCAUGUGUGCUACCAUCACUCAAAACUGGGUCCUCCAUCACAAUGCCACACUGUCCAUACAACACCGGCCAUAUACUCACUUUUCUUGAUGCAAUUCACACAAUGCUUGUCCCUGACCGAGAUCAGGUGCCUGCUAGGUUUGUGGUUAUAUGGGACAAUGUUAGAUUUUACCGGGCUGUUCUGGUCCAAAAUUACCUUUUUUUAAAAAAAAAGACCAUAUUCACCUUUUCUAAAUCGCAUAGAGGAAUUCUUCUCAGCCUGGCGCUGGAAAGUGUAUGAUCGCCAACCCUUGGCCCACAUGCCACUUCUCCUGGCAUGUGGGGACAUAGAGGUUGCCUCCCCCACCCACCAACCCCUUGCCAAUUCCUGGACCAGGACCCCACACACAAUUUGUGUUCUACUGUAAUUUUUGGCCUAAUACUGUACAUAUUUUCUGUUUCUACUUUGCAUUGCCGUUUCCGGUAUACUUGUUACCCCUUUCAGCAGAUUACUUUCACUGUACGACAUUGUAUUGAAAUG
Tachysurus fulvidraco (yellow catfish) is the source of this 973-nucleotide long non-coding RNA. RefSeq lists it as uncharacterized. The transcript has 3 exons. NCBI's taxonomy places the organism in Eukaryota, Metazoa, Chordata, Actinopteri, Siluriformes, Bagridae. The record is from RefSeq and is a predicted model, not a curated record.